RNAcentral lists this ribosomal RNA (500 nucleotides) under uncultured bacterium. RNAcentral describes it as "partial 16S ribosomal RNA". It matches the Rfam family "Bacterial small subunit ribosomal RNA", at positions 30 to 523 of the family's 1533-position model. The record is from RNAcentral.
AUUGAACGCUGGCGGCAUGCCUUACACAUGCAAGUCGAACGGCAGCACGGGAGCAAUCCUGGUGGCGAGUGGCGAACGGGUGAGUAAUGUAUCGGAACGUACCUUUCAGUGGGGGAUAACGUAGCGAAAGUUACGCUAAUACCGCAUAUUCUGUGAGCAGGAAAGCAGGGGAUCGCAAGACUUUGCGCUGAUUGAGCGGCCGAUAUCAGAUUAGCUAGUUGGUGAGGUAAAGGCUCACCAAGGCGACGAUCUGUAGCGGGUCUGAGAGGAUGAUCCGCCACACUGGAACUGAGACACGGUCCAGACUCCUACGGGAGGCAGCAGUGGGGAAUUUUGGACAAUGGGGGCAACCCUGAUCCAGCCAUGCCGCGUGAGUGAAGAAGGCCUUCGGGUUGUAAAGCUCUUUCGGCCGGGAAGAAAUCGCAUGGGUUAAUACCCUGUGUGGAUGACGGUACCGGAAUAAGAAGCACCGGCUAACUACGUGCCAGCAGCCGCAGUAA